This 475-nucleotide ribosomal RNA is filed under the name bacterium BSF11. RNAcentral describes it as "bacterial SSU rRNA". It matches the Rfam family "Bacterial small subunit ribosomal RNA", at positions 58 to 514 of the family's 1533-position model. The record is from RNAcentral.
CAAGUCGAGCGAACAGAAAAGGAGCUUGCUCCUUUGACGUUAGCGGCGGACGGGUGAGUAACACGUGGGCAACCUACCCUAUAGUUUGGGAUAACUCCGGGAAACCGGGGCUAAUACCGAAUAAUCUCUUUUGCUUCAUGGUGAAAGACUGAAAGACGGUUUCGGCUGUCGCUAUAGGAUGGGCCCGCGGCGCAUUAGCUAGUUGGUGAGGUAACGGCUCACCAAGGCGACGAUGCGUAGCCGACCUGAGAGGGUGAUCGGCCACACUGGGACUGAGACACGGCCCAGACUCCUACGGGAGGCAGCAGUAGGGAAUCUUCCACAAUGGGCGAAAGCCUGAUGGAGCAACGCCGCGUGAGUGAAGAAGGUUUUCGGAUCGUAAAACUCUGUUGUAAGGGAAGAACAAGUACAGUAGUAACUGGCUGUACCUUGACGGUACCUUAUUAGAAAGCCACGGCUAACUACGUGCCAGCAG